RNAcentral lists this non-coding RNA (177 nucleotides) under bovine gut metagenome. The record is from RNAcentral.
CUUAUCGAGGUUUCCCCUUGAAAAAAGGAGGACUAAGAGGGAAUCACGUGCAAAUCGUGAGCUGUCGCGCAACUGUAAAUCACCAGUUUCUUUCGGCGAGCAAAGAGAGCCAUUGGGUCGUCCUCGACCUGAGAAGGCGCCACGUCGGAGGUGAAAGCCAGGAGACCUGCCCCGAUG